GUGCUCACUUCGGCAGCACAUAUACUAAAAUUGGAACGAUACAGAGAUUAGCAUGGCCCCUGCGCAAGGAUGACACGCAAAUUUGUGAAGCGUUCCAUAUUUUU
Molecule: small nuclear RNA, 104 nt
Organism: Myotis lucifugus (little brown bat)
Lineage: Eukaryota; Metazoa; Chordata; Mammalia; Chiroptera; Vespertilionidae
Source: Ensembl